GGCUCAGGAUGAACGCUGGCGGCGUGCUUAACACAUGCAAGUCGAACGAACCUUCGGGUUAGUGGCGGACGGGUGAGUAACGCGUGAGAAUCUGCCCUCAGGAGGGGGAUAACGGUUGGAAACGACCGCUAAUACCCCAUAUGCCGCGAGGUGAAAUGAAUUUCGCCUGAGGAUGAGCUCGCGUCUGAUUAGCUAGUUGGUGGGGUAAAGGCCUACCAAGGCAUCGAUCAGUAGCUGGUCUGAGAGGAUGAUCAGCCACACUGGGACUGAGACACGGCCCAGACUCCUACGGGAGGCAGCAGUGGGGAAUUUUCCGCAAUGGGCGAAAGCCUGACGGAGCAACGCCGCGUGAGGGAUGAAGGCCUCUGGGCUGUAAACCUCUUUUAUCAAGGAAGAAGAUCUGACGGUACUUGAUGAAUAAGCCACGGCUAAUUCCGUGCCAGCAGCCGCGGUAAUACGGGAGUGGCAAGCGUUAUCCGGAAUUAUUGGGCGUAAAGCGUCCGCAGGCGGCCCUUCAAGUCUGCUGUUAAAGAGUGGAGCUUAACUCCAUCAUGGCAGUGGAAACUGUUGGGCUUGAGUGUGGUAGGGGCAGAGGGAAUUCCCGGUGUAGCGGUGAAAUGCGUAGAUAUCGGGAAGAACACCAGUGGCGAAGGCGCUCUGCUGGGCCAUCACUGACGCUCAUGGACGAAAGCCAGGGGAGCGAAAGGGAUUAGAUACCCCUGUAGUCCUGGCCGUAAACGAUGAACACUAGGUGUCGGGGGAAUCGACCCCCUCGGUGUCGUAGCCAACGCGUUAAGUGUUCCGCCUGGGGAGUACGCACGCAAGUGUGAAACUCAAAGGAAUUGACGGGGGCCCGCACAAGCGGUGGAGUAUGUGGUUUAAUUCGAUGCAACGCGAAGAACCUUACCAGGGUUUGACAUCCUGCGAAUCUCUUGGAAACGAGAGAGUGCCUUCGGGAACGCAGUGACAGGUGGUGCAUGGCUGUCGUCAGCUCGUGUCGUGAGAUGUUGGGUUAAGUCCCGCAACGAGCGCAACCCACGUCUUUAGUUGCCAGCAUUUAGUUGGGCACUCUAGAGAGACCGCCGGUGAUAAACCGGAGGAAGGUGUGGAUGACGUCAAGUCAUCAUGCCCCUUACAUCCUGGGCUACACACGUACUACAAUGCUACGGACAAAGGGCAGCAAGUUCGCGAGGACAAGCAAAUCCCAUAAACCGUGGCUCAGUUCAGAUCGUAGGCUGCAACUCGCCUACGUGAAGGAGGAAUCGCUAGUAAUCGCAGGUCAGCAUACUGCGGUGAAUACGUUCCCGGGCCUUGUACACACCGCCCGUCACACCAUGGAAGUUGGCCACGCCCGAAGCCGUUACUCCAACCCUCGGGAGGAGGACGUCGAAGGUGGGGCUGAUGACUGGGGUGAAGUCGUAACAAGGUAUCCGUACCGGAAGGUGCGGAUGGAUCACCUCCUAA
RNAcentral lists this ribosomal RNA (1464 nucleotides) under Parasynechococcus marenigrum WH 8102. Its description in RNAcentral is "bacterial SSU rRNA". It matches the Rfam family "Bacterial small subunit ribosomal RNA". The record is from RNAcentral. RNAcentral also lists the same sequence under 1 other name. Lineage: Bacteria; Bacillati; Cyanobacteriota; Cyanophyceae; Synechococcales; Prochlorococcaceae.